RNAcentral lists this ribosomal RNA (253 nucleotides) under uncultured bacterium. RNAcentral describes it as "partial 16S ribosomal RNA". It matches the Rfam family "Bacterial small subunit ribosomal RNA", at positions 524 to 776 of the family's 1533-position model. The record is from RNAcentral.
UACGUAGGGUGCAAGCGUUAAUCGGAAUUACUGGGCGUAAAGCGCGCGCAGGUGGUCUUUCAAGUCAGUGGUGAAAGCCCGGAGCUCAACUCCGGAAAUGCCAUUGAAACUGUAAGACUUGAGGAUGAGAGAGGUGAGUGGAAUUCCCAGUGUAGAGGUGAAAUUCGUAGAUAUUGGGAAGAACACCGGUGGCGAAGGCGGCUCACUGGCUCAUAUCUGACGCUCAGGCGCGACAGCGUGGGGAGCAAACAGG